CGAGGUUCUUGUAGGUGCUCAGAAAUGGCCGGGCCUGUGAGAAGAGGGUGGCGAACCACCGCAGCAAGUCAACUUGCCUCCUGCUCUGCUCCCACAUGCAGAAAUACCUUCCAGGUUGCAACUAAACCAAGAAGCAGGAAGAUGGGGAGUGAUAAACAGGGCACUGGCUGCGUGGGCAUGAGCCUUGCUACUGAAGUGAAAACAGUCAGGAGCAAAUGCUUGCUGCGUUUCCAUUAUUCGGAGCCAGGACCCGGUCUGGAGGGGGAAGUCAGGCUUCCACACCCGGAACAUUAGUGCAGUCACUUCAGAAGACACCAGGACACCUUCUGUUUUCCACAGUCAGCCAGUCCCCAGGCUGGGAAUAUGUCAGCUCUGACCUCCAGGGGGAGACUCUUCCAGUUACAGACAGAGCCUUGAGGCAGGCAGAAGAACCAUGAACCACACAGCAGUUCCCAGCUUACCUGAUACUGCUUAUUCACUUCGACGAGGGAGGCAAGUUCUGUCGCAUUAUCAUCAUACUUCAAGACACAGGGACACAGACUCCUGCAGACCAAACCACAGAGGUG
This is a long non-coding RNA of Cervus elaphus (red deer), 566 nucleotides long. RefSeq lists it as uncharacterized. NCBI's taxonomy places the organism in Eukaryota, Metazoa, Chordata, Mammalia, Artiodactyla, Cervidae. The transcript is spliced from 5 exons. The record is from RefSeq and is a predicted model, not a curated record.